Molecule: ribosomal RNA, 486 nt
Filed under: uncultured Clostridiaceae bacterium
Lineage: Bacteria; Bacillati; Bacillota; Clostridia; Eubacteriales; Clostridiaceae
Description: partial 16S ribosomal RNA
Source: RNAcentral
CACGUAGUUAGCCGUGGCUUCCUCCUCCCUUACCGUCAUUAUCGUCAGGGAAGACAGAGCUUUAACAACCCGAAGGCCUUCAUCGCUCACGCGGCGUCGCUGCGUCAGGGUUUCCCCCAUUGCGCAAUAUUCCCCACUGCUGCCUCCCGUAGGAGUCUGGGCCGUGUCUCAGUCCCAGUGUGGCCGACCACCCUCUCAGGCCGGCUACCCGAUCGUCGCCUUGGUGAGCCAUUACCUCACCAACUAGCUAAUGGGCCGCGGGCCCAUCCUUGAGCGGAAUUAACCUUUGGCUAAGACGCCAUGCGGCAUCUUAGCGUUAUGCGGUAUUAGCAGGCCUUUCGACCUGUUAUCCCCCGUCUCAAGGGCAGGUUACCCACGUGUUACUCACCCGUCGCCGCUAAGGUUCAAGAGUAAACUUCUCUCCCUCGCUCGACUUGCAUGUGUUAGGCACGCCGCCAGCGUCUCUGUAGCCACGGAGUCAACUAC